This 4184-nucleotide long non-coding RNA is filed under the name Podarcis lilfordi (Lilford's wall lizard). The record is from RNAcentral. Lineage: Eukaryota; Metazoa; Chordata; Lepidosauria; Squamata; Lacertidae.
GGUGGCUGGGGUGGCCCUGGAGCAAAAAGGGAGGUGCCAACACAAUAUGCUGAUUUGAAGGAGGUCUUCAGCGAGAGGGAGGCAGACUGCCCCCCCACAGGCCAUUUGACUGCCAAAUCAACCUGCUUCCAGGGGCUCAGUUACCGGUGGGUAAGCUGUAUGCCAUGUCCGACCGGGAGAUGCAGGAGUUGCGGCAGUUUAUUGACAAGAACCUGAAGAGAGGUUUCAUAAGGGAAUCAAAGGCGGUGGGGGGUCCAGUGUUCUUUGUGGACAAAAAAGAGACUAAUCAGCCCAGAUUAGUCGUGGAUUACAGGGCCCUAAACCUGGUGUCAGAACCCGUGACUUUCCCAAUGCCCAGGAUUGACGAUAUUUUGACACGUGUGAGGCAGGGGAAGAUUUUUACCAAGCUGGACCUCAGGGGAGCAUACAAUCUGAUUAGGAUAAGGGAGGGGGCGAAUGGAAAACGACCAUGUUCACCCCCCUGGGGGCUUUUGAGUACUUAGUCAUGCCAUUUGGAUUACAAUCGGGGUCCGCCUGCUUUCAAGCCUUCAUGCACCAUGUGUUGGGGCCCCUGCUGUACAAGAAUUGCGUAGCCUUUUGGAUGACGUCUUAAUCUAUUCGGACAAUGAAAAGCAACACGUCAGAGACGUCAGGGAGGUGCUACAGAGAUUGAAGAAGCAUCAGUUGUGGGUCAAGCUGGAAAAAUGCCAAUUCCACGCCAGGGAGGUCGAGUUCCUGGGGUACAGGUUGUCAGACAAAGGACUAGCCAUGGAUCCGGGCAAAGUGAAGGCAGUGCUGGAAUGGAAAGCCCCCCAAAACAGAAAGGAUGUGCAGAGGUUCCUAGGCUUCAGCAACUUCUACAGGAAGUUCAUAAAGAACUUCGCUCACUUGACAGCGCCCAUAACGGAUUGUCUUAGUAGCAAAAAGAAGUUCACGUGGACAGAGGAUGCGCAGCAAUCCUUUGAAAAACUGAAGAAGGCGUUCGCCUCGGAAGAGCAGCUCCUGCACGUGGAUCCGGAGAAGCCCAUGAGACUGGAGACGGACGCGUCCGACCGUGCGAUUGGAGCGGUCCUUUUGCAGCCCGGGGCCAAGCAGAACUGGAGGCCGUGUGCCCUUUUCUCUAGGAAGCUGAGCAAGUCGGAGCAAAACUACACGGUGUAUGACCGAGAACUGCUUGCGAUCUAUGCGGCAUUUCGGCAAUGGAGACAUCUAUUGAUAGGGGCGCGGCACAAGAUCCAGGUCCGAACUGACCACAAGAACUUGGAAUACUGGCGGACCGCGCGAGUGCUCAACCAGAGACAGAUCAGAUGGUCCCAGGAGUUCGCCAAGUUUUUCUUCGAGAUCCGAUACGUGCCGGGAGAGGAAAACGUAAGGGCAGAUGCUCUCUCCCGAAAACCGGAGUACAUGGAAGGAGAGGGGCCACCAGAGACCAGGCACAUGUUCCCCGAGGACCGGUGGGUGUGUGGGGGAGCGUUGGUUGGGAAACGAGAACUGGCAGGGCUCACCAGAGACGAUGAGUUUGCUCAGACAAAAAUCAGGGAACUCAGGGACGGAAAGGAAGUCAAUGGAGGGUUUGAGGAAAAGGAAGGGCUACUGUACUAUAAGGGGGCGCUGUAUGUACCAGGGGAGACUUUGAGGGGGAAGGUACUUAGACAACUCCAUGACAACCCAACAGCUGGGCACUUUGGACAGCACAAGACCAUGCUACUUGUCACCAGGCAGUUCUGGUGGCCAAAGGUGAGGGAAGACGUACGAGAACAUGUACGAGGGUGCAACCGAUGCCAGAGGGCAAAGGGGUUAAGGGCUGCCCCCGCGGGGCUACUGGAACCCUUACCUACACCGGAAAGGCCCUGGGAGGUGGUGUCCAUUGAUUUUAUGACAGAUCUGCCCAAGUCAAGGGGAAAGACAGCGGUCAUGGUAGUGGUCGAUCUACUGACUAAAAUGUGCCAUUUUGUAGCUUGCUCACAUGCAGCAACGGCAGAGGAGACAGCCAGGCUGUUUGUGGAUCACAUUUUUAGACUGCAUGGGACUCCAUUAAGGGUAAUCUCGGAUCGUGGGAAACAAUUUACUUCCCGGUUCUGGCAGAGACUCAUGAGUUUGCUACAGAUCGAGGUGAGCUUCUCGACAGUACCUACGCUGCUAUGUCAGCGAGAGACAGAACGAUUGGGUAUAGAAAUUAGGUUUGGCUGAAUUUGCGUACAAUAACGCGGAACACAUGUCCACGGGAAUGAGCCCUUUCAUGGCCAAUUACGGGUGUCACCCCAGGGCCUUCCUGGGGCGGGGGGAGGAAGGAUGGAGUGUACCUGUGGCUGAGCAAUUGGUAAUACAGCAGGUAAUACAGCAGGUUAACCCAGUGGCAUUUAAACUCAAGUUGCCUGACAGCAUGAAGAUACAUCCGGUGUUCCAUAGGUCCCUACUUUCACCUUACAGGGAGGGGCGGGAAUUCCCGGGACGAGAGGGAGGGGUUACCACCCACCCGCGGGUAGAGGAGAGGGAACACUGUAACGAAGCCACGGAAAUACUCGAUUCAAGGUGGCGAGGUCGCCAGGUAGAGUACUUGGUAGCCUGGGAGGGGGAACCUAGCUCUGAAAACACUUGGGUCCCUGCUGAAUCAAUCACUGACGGGUACCUGGUGGAAGAAUUCCAUGGUUUGUUCCCGGAUAAGCCCAAACCAUUAGCUAGAUUCUGGGAGGAAGAAUUUGGACCCACAGACGACGAAGGGGACUUUGUGGGUUUUUCUGCCUCCGAAGAGGAGGGAGGUGAGGUGUCCGAGGGAGAAGGAUCAGACUGGGAGGUUCAACCAGCGGGAAGAAAUCCGAGCGGAUGGGAGGCUGGUUUUGAAUCUUCAGAAGAUGAUGACAGUUCCUUCAGGGGAUUCCCUGCAUCGUUGACCGAGGAGAGAGAGGAGGUUGUACCAGAAAAUCGCGCCAGGGGUGGGGGUGGGGGUCCUGAGGAGGAGGCGGAUGUCAGGGAACUGCCAUCAGUGCCAGAGGGAGAGAGCAAAAUCCAGAGGGAUUCCAGAGAGCAUCCCGGGAUUGGGAGAGGCAGCCCAUCUUCUGGGGAAGAGAAUCAGCGUAGCACCAGUGGAGAAGGGGGGCAGAUGGGGGAAGCGGCGAGGCGGUCCCAUGACUCCUUGCCGGGGACCAGCGGGGAGAGUAGAGGUCCUCCGCUGCCUACGCCCUCCUUGCGCAGAAGGCUUUCGCGCAGCGAGAGUAGGAGGAGACUAGGCGUCAAAGAGCUUCUUUGCUGGAAGAAGUUUAAGAAACACCCACUGACAGAUUCUGCCAGCGAUUGAGACAGCCACGGGUGAGUGGCUUUCUGGACAGAAAAGGUUCACUCAGGCAACCCAGCCAGGUGUUUGCUUACGCACGAGCAACCCCUAGAACCAUUACAAUUAUUGAUUAUGUAUACCCAAUGUAUCAGCCACCUUGGGGGGGGGGGUUCACUGUUUCUGGUUUGGUUGUUGGUAAAAAAAUAAAAAAAUUAAACAUUUUUUAAAAAGGAAGUAUUCUGGCCAUCAUUAUUGCAAGAAGAUCCAACUGAGUGGGAGAGAGCAGGCUUGCUGCAAUUUUGAAGGCUGUGUGCCAUGUGAUGCAUUAUGCGCCAGUAUGGCUUUCCUAUAUGAAAUAUAUUAAAGGGUGAAGACUAUGAUAUAUAGCUGCUCUGCAAACACGCAUAAGGUUUUUCAUUCUGCAGGGCGCUUGCCUUCCACUUGUGGCUCAGCUGACCUGAGGUGAAGCCAAGUUCUGCCUUGAGCCACCAAGAGGCCUUGGUCUCUCUUCCACUCUUCUGAGCUGCUCCCACUCUGAUGGCUUAGCAUGUCGCUCUUUAUCUUUCUCCCCCUCUGGAGUGGUGUUUCUGGGGAUCUCUGUGGAGUUCCUAACUCUCGAAAGAGACUACUAAAAAGAGCAGAGAAAGCUAAAAAGCAUUAAACACCUAUAAAAAGUCUUUAAGUAAACAGGUAUGUCUUCACUUGGGACGCAGGUGGCGCUGUGGGUUAAACCACAGAGCCUAGGACUUGCCGAUCAGAAGGCUGGCUGUUCGAAUCCAUGCGACGGGGUGAGCUCCCGUUGCUCGGUCCCUGCUCCUGCCAACCUAGCAGUUCCAAAGCACGUCAAAGUGCAAGUAGAUAAAUAGGUACCACUCCGGCGGGAAGGUAAACGGCGUUUCCGUGUGCUGCUCUG